GACGAACGCUGGCGGCGUGCUUAACACAUGCAAGUCGAACGGGAUCCGGGCUUUCGGGUUUGGUGAGAGUGGCGAACGGGUGAGUAACACGUGAGUAACCUGCCCCCUUCUUUGGGAUAACGUCUGGAAAUCGGCGCUAAUACUGGAUAUUCUUGCUGCAUCGCAUGGUGUGGUUUGGAAAGGGUUUCUGGUGGGGGAUGGGCUCGCGGCCUAUCAGGUUGUUGGUGGGGUGAUGGCCUACCAAGGCUUUGACGGGUAGCCGGCCUGAGAGGGUGUCCGGCCACACUGGGACUGAGACACGGCCCAGACUCCUACGGGCGGCAGCAGAGGGGAAUAUUGCGCGAUGGGCGCAAGCCUGAUGCAGCGACGCCGCGUGAGGGAUGCCGGCCUUCGGGUUGUAAACCCCUUUCAGUAUGGAACAAGGAUCCUUCUUUUGGGGGGUUUGAGGGUACGUGCAGAAGAAGCGCCGGCUAACUACGUG
RNAcentral lists this ribosomal RNA (481 nucleotides) under uncultured bacterium. Its description in RNAcentral is "partial 16S ribosomal RNA". It matches the Rfam family "Bacterial small subunit ribosomal RNA", at positions 28 to 507 of the family's 1533-position model. The record is from RNAcentral.